GAUGAACGCUGGCGGCGUGCCUAAUACAUGCAAGUCGAGCGAACAGACGCGGCGCUUGCUCCUCUGACGUUAGCGGCGGACGGGUGAGUAACACGUGGAUCACCUCCCUAUAAGACUGGUAUAACUUCGGGAAACCGGAGCUAAUACCGGAUAAUAUAUUGAACCGCAUGGUUCAAUAGUGAAAGACGGUUUUGCUGUCACUUCUCGAUGGAUCCGCGCCGCAUUAGCUAGUUGGUAGGGUAACGGCUUACCAAGGCAACGAUGCGUAGCCGACCUGAGAGAGGGAUCGGCCACACGGGAACUGAGACACGGUCCAGAGUCCUAAGGGAGGCAGCAGUAGGGAAUCUUCCGCAAUGGGCGAAAGCCUGACGGAGCAACGCCGAGUGAGUGAUGAAGGUCUUCGGAGCGUAAAACUCUGUUAUGAGGGAAGAACAAAUGUGUAAGUAACUAUGCACGUCGUGACGGUACCUAAUCAGAAAGCCACGGCUAACUACGUG
RNAcentral lists this ribosomal RNA (497 nucleotides) under uncultured bacterium. RNAcentral's name for it is "partial 16S ribosomal RNA". It matches the Rfam family "Bacterial small subunit ribosomal RNA", at positions 28 to 507 of the family's 1533-position model. The record is from RNAcentral.